This 253-nucleotide ribosomal RNA is filed under the name uncultured bacterium. Its description in RNAcentral is "partial 16S ribosomal RNA". It matches the Rfam family "Bacterial small subunit ribosomal RNA", at positions 524 to 776 of the family's 1533-position model. The record is from RNAcentral.
UACGAAGGGGGCUAGCGUUGUUCGGAUUUACUGGGCGUAAAGCGCACGUAGGCGGGUCUUUAAGUCAGGGGUGAAAUCCUGGAGCUCAACUCCAGAACUGCCUUUGAUACUGAAGAUCUUGAGUUCGGGAGAGGUGAGUGGAACUGCGAGUGUAGAGGUGAAAUUCGUAGAUAUUCGCAAGAACACCAGUGGCGAAGGCGGCUCACUGGCCCGAUACUGACGCUGAGGCACGAAAGCGUGGGGAGCAAACAGG